RNAcentral lists this ribosomal RNA (274 nucleotides) under uncultured bacterium. RNAcentral describes it as "partial 16S ribosomal RNA". It matches the Rfam family "Bacterial small subunit ribosomal RNA", at positions 523 to 796 of the family's 1533-position model. The record is from RNAcentral.
AUACGGAGGGUCCAAGCGUUAUCCGGAACCAUUGGGUUUAAAGGGUCCGCAGGCGGUCAAUUAAGUCAGAGGUGAAAGCCCAUCGCUCAACGAUGGAACUGCCUUUGAUACUGGUUGACUUGAGUUAUACGGAAGUAGAUAGAAUAAGUAGUGUAGCGGUGAAAUGCAUAGAUAUUACUUAGAAUACCGAUUGCGAAGGCAGUCUACUACGUAUAUACUGACGCUGAGGGACGAAAGCGUGGGGAGCGAACAGGAUUAGAUACCCUAGUAGUCC